UACCGUGAGGGAAAGGUGAAAAGAACCCCGGAAGGGGAGUGAAAUAGAAUCUGAAACCCUAUGUUUACAAGCAGUGGAAGCACUUUAUAUGUGCGACCGCGUACUUUUUGUAGAACGGGCCAGCGAGUUACGAUAUAUAGCAAGGUUAAACUUUUUUAAAGUGAAGCCGUAGGGAAACCAAGUCUCAAUAGGGCGUUUAGUUGUAUGUCGUAGACCCGAAACCGGGUGACCUACCCAUGAGCAGAGCGAAACGAAAGUAAAAUUUCGUGGAGGCUCGAACCGUUUAGUGUUGAAAAACUAUCGGAUGAC
This 309-nucleotide ribosomal RNA is filed under the name Anaerosalibacter bizertensis. RNAcentral describes it as "partial 23S ribosomal RNA". It matches the Rfam family "Bacterial large subunit ribosomal RNA", at positions 499 to 808 of the family's 2925-position model. Lineage: Bacteria; Bacillati; Bacillota; Tissierellia; Tissierellales; Sporanaerobacteraceae. The record is from RNAcentral.